CUGGUACAGUAUGUGGUCUCUGCAGGCAUCUAUCUUCAUGGGGCAUUCUGGAUUCUGGGAGGUAGAAAGUUUUUUAUCCUAAAAUUGUUCAAAGUUAAAUCAAGUUCACAACAAUAACUUGGGCCCCCUGAGGUGAAUAAUAACAAACACAGGGGUUCCUCAGGGAUGCAUGGCUGUAUUAUGGGGUAUAUGAAUCAAUUUGCAAAAGAAAAUUUUUUAAAAAGCAGGAAAAAUCCAAAUAAAAGAGAAAAAUAACUUGUGGAUAUAAUACAAAAUGUAAAAGUAUUAUGUUUAAAAAAACCUAAGUAAAGGAAAAACAAACCCAUAGCAGGUCCUUGAAUUGGGGCCCAAUUAAGAUGAUUUAAGAAAUGAUGCAUUUACCCAAUCAGUAGCCAGGGCUACAGAAAGUUUUGCCCCACCAUGAAAGACAGAAAAGGGACUAGAUUAGAGGAGGCAGGUAGGAGACAAAUUUGAGAUAUUAGGUAGAAUAUGGGUCAAGGAAAACCUGCCUUUAACACAUGUUAAACAGCCAUAACCUCAAACCCCAAACAAAUUCAAAUCCUCUUGUCUUGGCUAAAAAUUACAUCAAUCCUACCAGGAUUGGUUGGUCUCUUUGACCUUGUGCUCGAUUGGCACUAUGCAAUUUAGCUUUGUGCUUCUUUGGCACUGUGCAAUGGCUCUUUUUGUAUUCUCUUGUCCUGGAAUCAGACAGAAUCAUUAAGCAAAGUCUCAUAAUUUUUUUAACAUUUUAUUUGGUCAUUUCCAAACAUUAUCACAGCCCAACCACCCAGGUGUUCAGCUCCGCCCAGAUAAUCAGCGUGUGGUCCACUCCUGGUGUUUAGCUCCACCCAGGUGCUCAGCGCAACUGCCCCGAGUACAGCUCUGCGGACCCCCUGUGCUCAGUGCAGGAUUAUCCGGUGAAACCACCCUGAGACGUUGUUUCCUGGCAGUCCCCAGAUCCCAAGGACCCUGGAGUGCCCCCCCAGACAGAGACGUUCACCACUCACUCGCUGUCCUGAGCAAUCUGUCUCUGAUGAAGCUAUGCAAAGACCUUGCUUAGAAUUCACAAUGACCAGAGAAAUAUCCUGAACAACUACUAUAUAGAGAAUGGCAAGGUAGGCAACUGUUGUCACUUCUUAGAAUAACUUCUGGGGAAGGUCAAUGAAAAAAACAAACAAACAAACAAAAAAAGAAGAGAGAAUGAAAUGCUUUCUACCUGGUCAGCUGAGACACCAUUCCUUUCCUGUUCCUAUACUCUACAUCAGACAUUAUGAGUAGCUGUAUAAAAAUUAAAUGCUCCCAGGGAUGAUAAAGUGUCUUAUACUGUAAGAAGAAUGUCAUAAUCCUCUGAAAACUGACUUUAAGUCAUUUUAGCCUAGCAUAUUGCUUAGAUGGAGUACCAUCAAUUCAGAAUGCAUCCUGUUCAAUUCCUGCCUCUGAAACCUAUUAGCUCAUGAGAUGUGGAUAAGUUGCUUAAUAUCGCCAUGCCCCUAAGCAAUUUUCUAACACCACGAGUAGUACCUUUGCCUCAUAGAUGUAGAAAGAAUUUCUACAAUGGCAGCUCCCUGUACUGAUAAAAUCACUACUGUGGAUUAAACAUACAUCAAGUGAUUAUUUAAAAAUCAUAAUCUCAUUGGAAGUAUAUAUUAUAUUAAAAUUGACCGAAAUAAAGAUUUCAAGGUGCUCUAGAAAUAUAAUUGC
RNAcentral lists this long non-coding RNA (1701 nucleotides) under Monodelphis domestica (gray short-tailed opossum). Its description in RNAcentral is "lncRNA (ENSMODG00000041364.1)". Lineage: Eukaryota; Metazoa; Chordata; Mammalia; Didelphimorphia; Didelphidae. The record is from RNAcentral.